AACGAACGCUGGCGGCGUGCUUAAUACAUGCAAGUCGUACGAGAAAGUCCCGCUUCGGCGGGGCGAGUAAAGUGGCGAACGGGUGCGUAACACGUGGGCAACCUGCCUCAAAGCCCGGGAUAAGCUCUCGAAAGGGGGUCUAAUACCGGAUAACAUCUCCGGAGGACAUCUUCCGGAGAUCAAAGGCGGCCACUAUUCAUAAGCUAUCGCUUUGGGAUGGGCCCGCGGUCCAUUAGCUUGUUGGCGAGAUAAAAGCUCACCAAGGCUACGAUGGAUAGCCGGCCUGAGAGGGUGUACGGCCACACUGGGACUGAGAUACGGCCCAGACUCCUACGGGAGGCAGCAGUAGGGAAUAUUGCGCCAUGCCCGAAUGGGUGACGCAGCAACGCCGCGUGGGCGAUGAAGUCCUUCGGGAUGUAAAGCCCUGU
Molecule: ribosomal RNA, 428 nt
Filed under: uncultured bacterium
Lineage: Bacteria
Description: bacterial SSU rRNA
Rfam family: Bacterial small subunit ribosomal RNA
Source: RNAcentral